GAGUCACCAAUCUUCAGCCCUGAGAUGGGAUGCCAGAUGCUGAAGUUGUUAUCCAAGUGUAUAACCCGAAAGAACUGGAAGAUGCCAUUGAGCAGAGCUGCACUCAUUAUGUAACCAAGGAAAAGAGCUUUGGAAGAAAAAAAAUCACAAAUGUCUACUGGGAAUUGUGUCCAGAAGCAGCAGCACAUUAUUGAAUAUUUUCUUUCCCAUCUGUCUUGCCUCCAUCUUCAAUCAAUCAAUCAAUCAAAGAAAGGAAGAAAGGAAGGACGGAAGGAAGGAAGGAAGGAGAAGGAAAGAAAGANUCUUGCCUCCAUCUUCAAUCAAUCAAUCAAUCAAAGAAAGGAAGAAAGGAAGGAAGGAGAAGGAAAGAAAGAAAAGAAAGAAAGAAAGAAGAAAGGACGGAAGGAAGGAAACAUUCCUUAUGUUACUAAAGAAAUGGAGGAUUCUAUUUCCUGAAAUACCUAGAGUAUUUGAAGAAUCUCCAUUGGCACGUGUGGCAAUAAACCUUCUGGAAGCCACUGGAGGCAAGCACCUGCUUAUUUCUAAUGUUUGCUUCUCUGCCACCCUGCCUGGAGAAGAGCAUCCUUCCAGAGGAAAACUGGAGGUUUCUGUCAGUCAAGAUGUCAGAAGAGCCUUCCACAGCCCGGUGCCUCCCUCUCCUCUCCCUUUGCCAGCUGGUGAGGGCCUUCCCCUCAACUUGCUUGGAGGCCUUGAAAGUUCAGGAGUAUACUUUAGUAACCACUCCCUCUCCCAAAAAGUACAAAGAAAAAUGCAUAAUGUAUGAUAAUGGUCAAACUAGUAAGAAUUAAAGUAAAUGGUGUGAUAUAAAAAGGGUUUCAAACAGGUUUAAUAAUUCUGCAAUUUGUUAUACAAAGUCAAUUUUUCCACUUGCAGAGCAAAGUUGCCUGGUGGGUUUAUUGGUUCACUCAUUAUUAGGUAUAUAUCACUUUUAUUGUUUCACAUUUUUAUCGUUUAUUAAAAAAAGACAGCAUUCAUGAAUAAAACAUUUUGGCUUCAGGCUGCCA
This 1025-nucleotide long non-coding RNA is filed under the name Vulpes vulpes (red fox). RNAcentral describes it as "lncRNA (ENSVVUG00000027744.1)". The record is from RNAcentral. Lineage: Eukaryota; Metazoa; Chordata; Mammalia; Carnivora; Canidae.